AGAGUUUGAUCAUGGCUCAGGACGAACGCUGGCGGCGUGCUUAACACAUGCAAGUCGAGCGGUAAGGCCUUUCGGGGUACACGAGCGGCGAACGGGUGAGUAACACGUGGGUGAUCUGCCCUGCACUUCGGGAUAAGCCUGGGAAACUGGGUCUAAUACCGGAUAUGACCUCAGGUCGCAUGACUUGGGGUGGAAAGAUUUAUCGGUGCAGGAUGGGCCCGCGGCCUAUCAGCUUGUUGGUGGGGUAAUGGCCUACCAAGGCGACGACGGGUAGCCGACCUGAGAGGGUGACCGGCCACACUGGGACUGAGACACGGCCCAGACUCCUACGGGAGGCAGCAGUGGGGAAUAUUGCACAAUGGGCGAAAGCCUGAUGCAGCGACGCCGCGUGAGGGAUGACGGCCUUCGGGUUGUAAACCUCUUUCAGCAGGGACGAAGCGCAAGUGACGGUACCUGCAGAAGAAGCACCGGCUAACUACGUGCCAGCAGCCGCGGUAAUACGUAGGGUGCAAGCGUUGUCCGGAAUUACUGGGCGUAAAGAGUUCGUAGGCGGUUUGUCGCGUCGUUUGUGAAAACCAGCAGCUCAACUGCUGGCUUGCAGGCGAUACGGGCAGACUUGAGUACUGCAGGGGAGACUGGAAUUCCUGGUGUAGCGGUGAAAUGCGCAGAUAUCAGGAGGAACACCGGUGGCGAAGGCGGGUCUCUGGGCAGUAA
Molecule: ribosomal RNA, 714 nt
Filed under: uncultured bacterium
Lineage: Bacteria
Description: bacterial SSU rRNA
Rfam family: Bacterial small subunit ribosomal RNA
Source: RNAcentral